RNAcentral lists this ribosomal RNA (338 nucleotides) under uncultured bacterium. RNAcentral describes it as "bacterial SSU rRNA". It matches the Rfam family "Bacterial small subunit ribosomal RNA", at positions 30 to 348 of the family's 1533-position model. The record is from RNAcentral.
AGUGAACGCUGGCGGCAGGCCUAACACAUGCAAGUCGAGCGGCGAGCGGGUCCCCGCGAGGGGAUGCCGGCGAGCGGCGGACGGGUGAGGAACACAUCGGAAUCGUGCCCUGGUUGUGGGGGAUAACGUAGGGAAACUUACGCUAAUACCGCAUGCGACCCUGAGUCGACGGACUUGGGGUGAAAGUGAGGGACCUUCGGGCCUCACGCGACCAGAUGAGCCGAUGUCGGAUAGCUAGUUGGCGGGGUAACGGCCCGCCAAGGCGACGAUCCGUAGCUGGUCUGAGAGGAUGAUCAGCCACACUGGGACUGAGACACGGCCCAGACUCCUACGGGAGG